RNAcentral lists this ribosomal RNA (880 nucleotides) under Laccaria bicolor. Its description in RNAcentral is "LSU rRNA". It matches the Rfam family "Eukaryotic large subunit ribosomal RNA", at positions 76 to 940 of the family's 3401-position model. Lineage: Eukaryota; Fungi; Basidiomycota; Agaricomycetes; Agaricales; Hydnangiaceae. The record is from RNAcentral.
UCCCCUAGUAACUGCGAGUGAAGCGGGAAAAGCUCAAAUUUAAAAUCUGGCAGUCUUUGGCUGUCCGAGUUGUAAUCUAGAGAAGUAUUAUCCGCGCUGGACCGUGUACAAGUCUCCUGGAAUGGAGCGUCAUAGAGGGUGAGAAUCCCGUCUUUGACACGGACUGCCAGGGCUUUGUGAUAUGCUCUCAAAGAGUCGAGUUGUUUGGGAAUGCAGCUCAAAAUGGGUGGUAAAUUCCAUCUAAAGCUAAAUAUUGGCGAGAGACCGAUAGCGAACAAGUACCGUGAGGGAAAGAUGAAAAGAACUUUGGAAAGAGAGUUAAACAGUACGUGAAAUUGCUGAAAGGGAAACGCUUGAAGUCAGUCGCGUUGGCCAGGGAUCAACCUUGCUUUUUUGCUUGGCUUACUUUCUGGUCGAUGGGUCAGCAUCAAUUUUGACCGGUGGAAAAAGUUCAAAGGAAUGUGGCAUCUUCGGAUGUGUUAUAGCCUUUGUUCACAUACAUUGGUUGGGAUUGAGGAACUCAGCACGCCGCAAGGCCGGGUUUUUAACCACGUACGUGCUUAGGAUGCUGGCAUAAUGGCUUUAAUCGACCCGUCUUGAAACACGGACCAAGGAGUCUAACAUGCCUGCGAGUAUUUGGGUGAAAAACCCGAGUGCGUAAUGAAAGUGAAAGUUGAGAUCCCUGUCGUGGGGAGCAUUGACGCCCGGAUCUGACCUUUUGUGACGAUUCUGCGGUAGAGCAUGUAUGUUGGGACCCGAAAGAUGGUGAACUAUGCCUGAAUAGGGUGAAGCCAGAGGAAACUCUGGUGGAGGCUCGUAGCGAUUCUGACGUGCAAAUCGAUCGUCAAAUUUGGGUAUAGGGGCGAAAGACUAAUCGAAC